UACAUGGGGUGCAAACGUUGCUCGGAAUUAUUGGGCGUAAAGCGCACGUAGGCGGUUCGUUAAGUCGGAUGUGAAAGCCCUCGGCUCAACUGAGGAAGUGCACCCGAAACUGGCGAGCUAGAGUACGAAAGGAGGAUCGCGGAAUUCCCGGUGUAGAGGUGAAAAUUCGUAGAUAUCGGGAGGAACACCGGUGGCGAAGGCGGCGAUCUGGGUCGAUACUGACGCGUGA
RNAcentral lists this ribosomal RNA (229 nucleotides) under uncultured bacterium. Its description in RNAcentral is "partial 16S ribosomal RNA". It matches the Rfam family "Bacterial small subunit ribosomal RNA", at positions 524 to 749 of the family's 1533-position model. The record is from RNAcentral.